RNA transcript from Vigna unguiculata (cowpea), 3783 nucleotides. It is a transcript of the gene named protein SEMI-ROLLED LEAF 2-like, with no coding region annotated. NCBI's taxonomy places the organism in Eukaryota, Viridiplantae, Streptophyta, Magnoliopsida, Fabales, Fabaceae. The record is from RefSeq and is a predicted model, not a curated record.
UGAUAAAUGACCACUAUGGGUUCAUGGUGGUUUAAUCGUCCAACACAUUUUGUUUGUAAGAAUUAAAACGUUACAUUUGAUAAUAGUGCCAAGGGUAGGGGAAGAGUUGCACCUGACUCUGACCCUGACCCCAUUGCCAUUUUCCCUGAUCGCGAUCGGCGAAGCUUCAUUUUGCGAAGGAGUGGAAACUAUAUAAUUCGAAUAGGUUAGGUAGGUAGGUUUCGGACGUUUCUCGCUGUGAAUUGUUGAUGAGUUAAUUCAGUAUAUAUCGCUCGUUUGGUCCUCAAUUUUCGAGCGUUCGUUUUUUUUUUUUUUUGUUAUUGGGAAAUUCGUUAAACCCUGUGCGGACUCUUGAUCGAGCUGAAUUGGAUUCGGGCAGGGUUUGUGAAUUCAUUGCAAAAUGGGGGUUAUGUCCAGGCGGGUUGUGCCCGUCUGUGGUAACCUCUGUGUGUUUUGUCCUUCUCUGCGUGCAAGAUCAAGGCAACCGGUGAAACGUUACAAGAAGUUGAUGGCUGAAAUAUUCCCGCGUAAUCAGGUUGCUGAGCCUAACGACAGGAAAAUUGGAAAACUAUGUGAGUAUGCUUCUAGGAAUCCAUUGAGAAUUCCUAAGAUUACUGAAAACUUGGAGCAAAGAUGUUAUAAGGAUUUGCGUCAUGAAAACUUUGGUUCGGUGAAAGUGGUCUUGUGCAUAUAUGAGAAACUGUUAUCGACAUGUAAGGAGCAGAUGCCGCUGUUUGCCAAUAGCUUAUUAGGGAUCCUUCAAACGCUUCUAGAGCAAACUCGUUCAGAGGAAAUGCAGAUCUUAGGUUGCAAGACUCUUGUAGAAUUUACAAAUUGCCAGACAAAUGGUACAUACAUGUUCAACUUAGAGGGUUUUAUACCAAAACUAUGUCAAUUGGCUCAAGAAGCGGGAGAUAAUGAACAAGCUCUGCUUCUACGAUCAGCUGGCCUACAAGCACUAUCCUACAUGGUGCAGUUCAUGGGAGAGCACUCACAUCUUUCCACGGAUUUUGACCAAAUUAUAUCAGUGAUUUUGGAAAAUUUCCCGGAUCCCCAAUCCAAAUCCAAUCUUGCCGAAGUAGAGAAAUUGAAUUCACAAUCUCAGAGCCAUCUGGUCCAACAAUUUCCCAAAGGAGGAGACCUACGUUCUUUAUCAGCUAUCAGUAAGAAGGAUGCUUCCUUACUUAAUGGUGUGACAGGAACUGAGACAGAACCCAAGUUAGAUACUGCUAAAGAUCCUGCUUAUUGGUCAAAGAUUUGCCUGUAUAAUAUGGCCAAAUUGGCCAAGGAAGCCACAACUGUGCGCCGUGUCCUUGAACCAUUUUUUCAUAAUUUUGAUGCUGAAAACUACUGGUCUUCUGAAAAGGGAGUUGCUUCUUGUAUUUUGCAGUAUUUGCAAUCCCUUCUAGCAGAAUCAGGUGAUAACUCCCAUCUUCUGUUGUCCAUUUUGGUCAAGCACUUGGAUCAUAAAAAUGUUGCUAAGCAGCAUAUCCUUCAGAUUGAUAUCAUUAAAACCACCACGCAGCUUGCACAAAAUGUGAAGUAUCAGGCUUCAGUUGCAAUCAUUGGUGCAAUAUCUGAUCUCAUUAAACAUUUUAGGAGAUGCCUGCAAAAUUUAGCUGAAGCAUCCAGCACUGGAGAUGGUACAUAUAGGUUGAAUACUGAACUUCAGUCCGUCUUAGAAAUGUGUAUAUUACAACUUUCAAAGAAGGUUGGGGAUAAAGGACCAAUUCUUGAUUUGAUGGCUGUGGCAUUGGAGAAUAUCCCAGUUACUACCGUAACAGCAAGAUCGACAAUCUCUGCUGUCUAUCAAAUAGCAAAAUUAGUCACUUCCGUUCCAAAUGUGUCAUAUCGCAAUAAGGCUUUCCCUGAUGCCUUGUUUCAUCAAUUGCUCCUGGUCAUGGUUCAUCCUGACUACGAAACACAAAUUGGAGCACAUAGGAUCUUCUCUUUGGUGCUUACACCAUCCAUGGUUUCUCCUUGGUUGGACCACAAAAUAAUGACUGCUCAUACUGGAGAUGAAAACUUUAAUGGAAAACUUGAAGAAGAAAAGACAAUAUCUAGUGUCAAAUCGAAGAAAUAUGCAAUUCAUCCAUAUAGGGGCUACAGCUUUUCUCCCAAGCUAACUAAUGGAAACGACGAUAAAAGUUCUCUUAGGCUAAGCAGUCAUCAAGUCAGUCUUCUGCUUUCUUCAAUCUGGGUUCAGGCAACAUCUGUGGGAAAUGGCCCUUCAAAUUAUGAGGCAAUGGCACACGCCUAUACCAUUGCUUUAUUAUUUACUUGUUCUAAGGCAUCCAGUCACACGGGUUUAGCAAGAUCUUUUCAACUGGCAUUUUCCCUCAGGAGGAUCUCUUUGGACCAACAAGGAGGCUUACAACCAUCUCGUAGGAGGUCCCUUUUUACCUUGGCUUCAUAUAUGCUUAUCUUCUCUGCCAGGGCUGGCAGUCUCCAUGAUCUAAUUCCAAUAGUUAAAGCUUCUCUGACCAAAGAAACAGUAGAUCCUUUUCUUGAAUUGGUUGAUGAUAUCCGACUGCUGGCUGUCCGUAAAGAAUCGGAGAAUAUAAUUUAUGGAUCUCAGGAAGAUGAGGCGGCUGCUGUGAAGUCUCUUUCAGCUGUAGAAUUGGAUGACAAGCAGUUGAAAGAGAUUGUAAUAUCGUACUUUAUGACUAAAUAUUCAAAAUUGCCAGAGGAUGAACUGUCUAGCAUAAAGAAUCAACUUGUACAGGGAUUUUCCCCCGAUGAUGCAUAUCCAUUAGGACCUCUGUCAUUUAUGGAGACAUCAAGACCAUGUUCUCCUCUUCAUAUGAUUGAAUUCCCAAGUUUUGACGAGAUAAUGAUUCCGGAUGAUUUCACGGAGAUAGAGACUGGACAUAGUGGCAGCCAGUCAGAUCGCAAAACAUCACUGUCAACCAACCACCCCGAUGUUCUAAAUGUUGAUCAACUAUUAGAUUCGGUUUUGGAAACUGCACGGCAGGUUGCAAGUUUCUCCACUUCCUCAACUCCUCUACCUUAUGACCAAAUGAAGGACCAGUGCGAGGCACUUGAAGCAGGGAAACAACAGAAGAUGUCCGUCAUUCAGAGUUUCAAGCAUCAACAAGAGAGUAACGCCAUAGUUCUUUCUAGUGAAAAUGAAGUUACAGUUGCCCCUAUACAUGCUAAGGCACUGGAAUAUUCAAAAAGUGAUUUGAAGUUAGUAACUCAGGAAACAUUUAAAGAACAGGAUGGAGCACGCGACCAUUACGAUGACUAUGGGCUGCAACAUUCUUUGAGGCUACCUCCUUCGAGCCCCUAUGAUAAAUUCUUGAGAGCUGCGGGAUGCUAAUGACACUAACCUGCAAUAGAUGCCAUUUUUUCAUUCUUUGCAAUGCUGGUAAAAUGUUUCUUUAGAUGGUUUCUACCAUUCAUGCCCCAAGUACGUGAAAUAUGCAGGAGAGUAAAUUUUUUCUUUUGUUGGGAGAGUGUGGACCAAAUGCUAGAAGCUCCUAAUGAUUCAUGAGUUGUGAAGAAUGAUUUCCUGUGCGGCUGCUCCGCUUUAUCUCUGCCAAAUUCCAGUCAAAGCAUGCUCUGGGCGUAUUACCAUACGUAUAUUUUAUUUUUAAUUUUUCUUGCAUAUAUUAAUAUCAAAUAUGUAUACUAUUUCACGUGGAACACGUACACGCUUCAUUGUUAUUCUGUAUGGGUGAAAACUUUAAUAGAUGUGAAUGUGAUAACGUGAUGGAUAAUAAAGCGAUACACGAAAAUGAGAUGGAAAGAAAAAUUUAAUACAUGAUGAUAACUAUUUAA